Molecule: long non-coding RNA, 6679 nt
Organism: Strigops habroptila (Kakapo)
Lineage: Eukaryota; Metazoa; Chordata; Aves; Psittaciformes; Psittacidae
Source: Ensembl
UAUAUAUAUCUCUGUAUAUAGUUUAUUUCUCACAAUCCUGGUAAAGAGUUACAGGUGUACUGGGAAUCAUUUACAGUUUCACAGCAUAUGGAGUGGCCAUACAGCUUCUGAUGUGAGUAACAUACAGUGUGUAGAGAGCACACGUUUCCAAACCCAUCCACCCACCACUCAUACAAUGGGUUUUCAAAGCUAAUACUAGAUUCAGCUACAUAGAAAGCCUGGAAUAUGGUUGGGUACAGCGUUGGGUGUUGUACAACACUGUCAGUCACAAUGGGACAAGCUAAACUACUUUAAUUUUCAAUCUAGUAUUUCUAGUCUACCUGCAUUAUUGCAUUUAUACGCUUGUUUUUUGUUCAAAGUCAAAGUAAAUAGAAUACUAUAUGGGAAAGGAAAAUUCUUGACUAUUUUAGGAUUUGAGCUGCAGCCCAUACAAAGUGUCCAUAGAAGCAUAGACAAGGUUAUAAAUUCAACAAGGUAUAAAUUCGCUGGGUAGCUUUGUGUGUAGGUAGGUGUCCAUUUCCCUCCAGGAAAUGUGUCUUAGCAGCAUAUUGUUUCUGAAAGCAAAAACCAAACCAAACCUGUAUGUUGAACACAGGUAAAGAAGUGUAAGUGACAAGUAAGUGUGUUUGUACAGGGAAGAAAUCAAGGUGUUGCUCUGAAAAUCACUAUCCUUUAGAAAACACAUGCAGGGGCUGACUCAAAACCCACUGAUGCCAUUGGGAAGAUGCCUCUGAGGUAACAGCAGGCACUUCCCUGCUACCGGCAUGAGUUUUCUGAGGGCUUUGGAUCAGUCCCUGGAAAAGCAACAGAAUCCAAGCAAACCAUAAGGAAAAGAAUCAAAAUCCCCUGUAAUCUGACCUUCACGUUCCCUUCCUACUAUUUUAGUUGCUCCACCAAUUUGUUAUCAACCUGCACCUACCACUAGAAGAGAGUUGGUUUUCACUGGGGAAUAGAGAUUGCAACUCUUAGAUAUCAAUGGAAAUGGUCCUAAGCAAUGACUUCGUAAAGGCACCAGGCUUUAGAAGGGCUGCUCAAAACUUAAGAAAGCCAAAUUAUUCACUUGUUGGUUGGUUUUAAACAUGACAAAAUCGUAUGGGCACCCUUGUCCUUAUCAAAUCACCCCAGAAACUUGAGUGCUUGAAGCUGCCGUAGCAAAACCAGGGAUACAAUGCAGGUCUGUACAGUUGCAGAGAUGAUUAAAGGUUUCCUGGUGGGAGGUUUGGUAUUGAAGCAUCAUCGUGCACAGACAGAAAGAACCCAUUGCUUUAUUCUUGCUCUGCUGCACCAGGGCUCUGCAUUCUGAGAAAUGAAAGAAUAGUGGAGUCAUCUGUGAAUUUCAAGCUGGGAUUAACUGAAAGAGAAACAGGAGCAAGAGUAACACGUUGUCCAAAUCCUAUUUUCCCUGCCCAUGGCAGGGGGGUUGGAACUAGAUGAUCUUAAGGUCCUUUCCAACUCUAACUAUUCUAUGAUUCUAUUUAACCCACGUUAUGUUUUUCAGCAAAGAAACCCAAAACAACUGUUUGAUUUGAAGAGCAGAGUGGAGAGCACAAGUCCCCAGGUACUGCAUGCCAGAGCACCCAGGCAGAGCACAUGCUGUCCAGAGCAGCAAUCAGAACUGUAGCAAAUUGUAGAACCAAACUCAUGUAUUUGGAAAGCCAGCAACUAUAAUCUUUCAAGCUUAUGAUACCAGCUUAUCAGCAUGGUUAGUUGAACAAAGUGUGAAUUUUCAAGGCCCAGAACUCCUGCAUUACUUCAUCAAGUGGUAACACCCGAGCAGCCCAUUCACACCAAAAGAUCCUUGCAGUCUUCUGCAUCCUCAAUCCUUGCAGUCUUCUGCAUCUUCAAUCCUUGCAGUCUUCUGCAUCCUCAAUCCUUGCAGUCUUCUGCAUCUUCAAUCCUUGCAGUCUUCUGCAUCCUCAAUCCUUGCAGUCUUCUGCAUCUUCAAUCCUUGCAGUCUUCUGCAUCUUCAAUCCUUGCAGUCUUCUGCAUCCUCCAUCCUUGCAGUCUUCCACAUCCUCAAUCCUGCAGCAGGCCCUGGCACAGGACCUGCUUCUUCAAGGCCAGCAGAAAUGCAGGUGGUGGACAUCAGCUGAGAACCAGCUCUUGAGCACUUGAGAAUCUCUCUCCUCUGUGUUUCUGGUGCUCCAGUAACUGGAGGACUGAAGCAGCACUGGCUUUAGCCAAGUGUAAUGUGUGCUCACGCUGUGUCAGCAUCUCUUGAGCAGCCAGAACACCUCCUGCCUGAGUGGCAGCAGCUUCAAUUCUGAGCAGAGCUUGUGGCCAUGCAGUGACUGACAUGAAAAAGCAAAGAUAAGAAAAGGACCUUCCAGCUGUGGCUUCCUCAUCUGCUGAUCUCCAGUAGCAGAUAAGAGCGCUAAGAAUCUUGCAGACUCAGACCCUCAAGCCUUAGCAAUUAGGGCAGAUGAAAGCUUCACACAUUCUGCAUUGCUCUUGCAGUACUCUCUGACUGAACGUUGCCUCUGUCUUUCGUGUGGGGCCACCCAACAUCUGCCUCAGCCUUGGGGCAGCGUUUGUGCCUAGCUGUGGAGAGGCCACAUCUGCAGAGUUGCCUGGGAUGAAAGUAGGGAAAGAGAAUACGGUGCAGUAGCCAAAGAAGCAGUGAAGGAUAAGAAAUUAAUCAGAUCUCCAGAAACCAAUGGAGCCAGAUCUGACAUCUUCAGCCGAGGAAUUUGGGCAUUAAAAAGGAAAACAAGCCACAGGGCUGGACUUUCUCUUUCUUCAAAGAGAGAAAAAAGUCAUCUUAAAACCCCUUUGCUCAACAGAUUAAACUCUCCAGGGCCAGUCAAGGUAAAGUGAUCUGGGCUGACCACAGCAAGAUGCAAUAAAAGAGAUAGGAAAAUAGUGUUGGACAGACCCAGGCAAGUCCAGCUGAAUGGCACACAGGGCAUGUUCCAAGCCAAGGUCUCAGUUAAAUUGCAGUAACCUCAGUAGCUCCUUGUGUCAUCGUCUGGGCUGCUCAGUUCGAAUUGAUCUAGCUCAAGAUCAGCUUUCUGUAUAACUACCUUCUGUUCCAUGAACAUAAGUUAAAUACCCUCUCACUUUUACCAUGUAUUCACCACAACAGCUCAGAUAUCUUGUUCUGUGCCCUUUGACACUUAAAAGAUAACUUCCCAUUAAUGAUUAAAUACUACUUCAAAUAGAUAAACUUCAGGAGAGAACUAAUCACCAGCUGAAUCAGGGCAGGACAGUUUUUGAAGAGAACAACAGGCCAAAAACACUGCAGGAGAAAUAUUUAGGGACAAAUGAUGGGCUGAAAAGUCCAUAAAACAGAAAGAGAGAGCUGAAAAUGGCAGAAAUAGAGCUGAAAAGCCCAGAGCAGCAAUAUUUGAUCCAUAGUACUAAGCAGACACUGCUCUCAUCUCAUCGCCCUCUCCUGGCUUCUUUAACCUGCAAAGCAUAAAUCCUGAAGUACAUGGGCUGUAUGGAAGCCCAGGAAGUUGCUGCACAGGCUUCAUCACUCUUUGCAGUGGAGUUGUCAACGGAGUGUCACUCCUAAGACCUAAAACGUGCAGGAAGCCCAGGUCACAUCUUCAGCAUCAGUAGCUUUAUCCCUGAAAGAGUGAAGGACAUCUCUGGGUGUUAAUGACAGGAAACAUCCCACUUCCAGCCUCCUGCACUGAGAGUUCAACUUAGAUAUAGAGUUUUUAUUAUCCAGACCAAAGCCAAUUCUCUUCAUGAGGGGAGGUGCCCAACCUGUAAAGCAGAACUGCAGUCAGUUGGUGAAGAGAUUACAUGAUGUGGUUGUCUGCUCCUGUGCCUUGGGAGAUGUCUCCUGGCUUCAUGAUGAUGGGAAUGAGACAGCAGCAAGAUGCUACAUGGCCUGGGAAGGGAACCAGCAUCCCUGCUCUAACAUGAAGUCCCAGACUAAGAGGAUGGAAGUGCACAUAGGUUGGAUUUUCAGUCCUCUUAGUAUGUGAAAAACGGAACACAGCACUUCGAAAUGCCCAAGCCAUAAACUUGCAAUUUCCUUUAAUCAUACAAAAUUGGUUGUAGAAAACUUCAGGUCUUUUUCUUGCUUCACAAACCCUUUAACAUCGAAUAGAGGCAGCAAAAAUUCCUUUGGAAAAGUCAGUUAGCAAAUGUUAACUUGCGUGGAAUCAGAAUUGGUCGUUUUUCCUUAUGUCCAAGAAAAAUAAAUAGAAGUGGAUGGGGUAUAAAAGUUAAUGCGUCCUUAUCAAAACUGUGAAGAUGGUGAAAUUGUUCUCUCUUCUCUGCAUAUCUCUCUACCUUUUCUUGUACCCUCUCAGAAGCACUGACUUGAAUCUCGGUGUAGAGCUGAUUGAAAUUCCAAGAAUUCCACCUCUCAAGUACAUUUUGUCAUUGCCUUCCUUCUUUGGUUUGUUUCUUGAAGGAUAAGUUUCCUCUCACAUCUUCAGGACUGUUCAUUCCAGCCAAUUCCAAGAAUAGAUAGAAGGAUGCUGACUUCUAAACCCCAGUGGCAGUUCCAGGAAAGGAAGGGAAGUUUUUAAGGCAGAAAUCAUCUCUCACCAGCUCCUGGGGUUUUAGUUACGCUGUUGUUGUCUAUACACAAACAUUAAUGUAGGUGUAAGCAUGGUUGUGAGGUAAGACCAAAGACUUUCCUUACAUUCAGCAGCAGGACUAAGGAACGUUUUUGUCAGUUCAAAAAGAAACCAUGCCAUUGGGAUGAGUUUCCAUUUUACAGUGACCUGCAAUUGUAUCCCUGGUGCCCUCAAAGGCCUGAGCAGAAUAUGGUGAAGCCAAUGGAAAACUUGUUUUCAGUAGCCCACGGAUCAACUCCUAAACUCUGAUUCAGCAGAGACAUAAAACCAUUUUUAACUUAUCACUCAAUCUAAGGGAACAAAGCAGUGCUUCAGGGCAAGUGCCUGCCCAGUGCUUUAAGCAUGAGGUGAACAGCACCUGCAGGAAAGCAUUCUUACCCUGCUGAAAACACUGCUGCAUUAUCCUUCAGCUUCCAGAUUUGCUUGCAUCCUGCUGCAGAACUUAAUAGGAAUAACAGGACUUAUCCAUAGUAGAAAGAGGAAGCAGAAGUGUGAUCCAUUUCAUCUUAAAGCUAGAAGCAUCAAAAAACCUUCUACUAAGUUGCCCAAGAGAACAUAAUGACAUCUUUAUAGUUGACUAAAACUUACGGCUCUUUAAAAACAGAUUGAGAUCAGGUGUAGUAAUUGAAUCUCUAGUUUUAGUGAUAAGCUACAAUGUCUUCAAAUUCAUAAUUUAUAGACUUAAUCAAAGGAGUAAACUAGCAAUCUAGAUCUCUUCAAACCCCAAACACAGAAUCUGGUUAGAGUUAAGCAUUAAUUCAUUCUCCACACGGAGAUAUCACUAGAAGGACUUCAUAUCACAAACACCACACAAAGAAGAACAUCAAGCAAAUAACGGCGUGUGCUCAGUACGAGAAAAGACAACUAUUUAUUUAGCACAGCGAGUUCAAUCAUUUAAGCCUCUGCUUCCACAGGUUUGGUUUCAGCUUCGGUUCUGAGAGGGGUGAAUUUGCUCUUCUCAGCCUACUUCUCACUGGAUGUGUUUUAUCUCAGAGUGAAACCACUGCACAGGCUGGCACAUUAAGGCAGAACAGGAGGUGUUUGCUAAGAGGGUGUCGUUUGCAAGUCAGGACUGAAGUGCAUUGCCCCAGCUGCGUGCUUAGGGGCUUGUAUGGCAUCUACACUUGAUCUACCUGACUCAAAUCAACACUAGACCCACACUUCAAAAAGCACUACAACACAGUCCAGUAUAAUUCAGUAUAGUCUAAAAGUGCCUUGUUUUAAAGCAACUAGCCCACACGACUAUUCAGGGAGGGGGAACAGGAAUUUUGAGCUUCUAGCACAAUGGGCACAUCAUACAUUCAGCAGUUCACUAGCCAUACAUUCUUUGCACUGAGAAGAAACCAGGACUGAAAAGGAAUCCGGGUGCUGCAUGGCAUGGUGUGAAUGGCACAACAAAAGACAUCACAGACACUUGGUGUGAAUGCAGGGGAACAAACGAAGGGGCAUCUCCAAGUUAGCUGUUCCCCCCCUCUCCCAGACUGCAGUAAUAUACACAUAUAUGUAUGUAUACAUACAGACACAGAAUAUGCUUCAAGGCAGGGUGGUGUAUACACACGCACACACACACACACGGAGGUAAGUUCCAAACCAAACUGCCAAAGAGGUGGGUCCCAGGUAGCAAAUCUGGACAGCAGACAGCAAUGUUAAGCCAUCACAGUAAGUGGAAAACCCCUUAUGAACAGGACAUACCCUGUUCAGUGCUUAAGGAGGGCUCACAUGUGGUUACAUACCCCAGUGAUGAGCUGCAGCCCCAUCACCAUCUCUCUGGUGUGUUUCUGGAUGAAAUUCUUGGCCUUGCAUCUGAGGGCUUUAAAAGCAGGGGCAGUAGGUUGGAGGCAGACAGAAACGGCUUAAGGCCCAUGGUGGCUGAGAACUGGGUUUCCCCCCUUCUGUUGCCAAAGGUUAAGUCAAGGAAAUAAAGAAACCUUUAAGUUCAGUAAAAUAGGAGACUUUAGAAAGUAAACCAGUUGUUUCUUUUUCCUUCCCCUGUAUCUAUCUAUGCUGGCCAGGGCAGAAUAGAUAGAUGAAUCUAUCUGUAAUGUUGUCACACACUGCUAAGGAAAUAAUCAUAUGCUGGGGCUGAGAGGGAGGGAACAGACAGGGCAGGUAGAAACACCUCUUGGAGUCAGGCCUCC